AGUGUAGGUGGCUCAUUAAGUCACAUGUGAAAUCCCCGGGCUUAACCUGGGAACUGCAUGUGAUACUGGUGGUGCUAGAAUAUGUGAGAGGGAAGUAGAAUUCCAGGUGUAGCGGUGAAAUGCGUAGAGAUCUGGAGGAAUACCGAUGGCGAAGGCAGCUUCCUGGCAUAAUAUUGACACUGAGAUUCGAAAGCGUGGGUAGCAAAC
RNAcentral lists this ribosomal RNA (207 nucleotides) under uncultured bacterium. RNAcentral's name for it is "partial 16S ribosomal RNA". It matches the Rfam family "Bacterial small subunit ribosomal RNA", at positions 568 to 773 of the family's 1533-position model. The record is from RNAcentral.